This 71-nucleotide transfer RNA is filed under the name Camelus bactrianus (Bactrian camel). It matches the Rfam family "tRNA". Rfam says of the family: Transfer RNA (tRNA) molecules are approximately 80 nucleotides in length. Their secondary structure includes four short double-helical elements and three loops (D, anti-codon, and T loops). Lineage: Eukaryota; Metazoa; Chordata; Mammalia; Artiodactyla; Camelidae. The record is from Rfam by way of RNAcentral. RNAcentral also lists the same sequence under 2 other names.
GAGGAUAUAGCUCAGUGGUAGAGUGUGUGCUUAGCAUGCACGAGGUCCUGGGUUCAAUCCCUAGGGCCUCC